This is a long non-coding RNA of Gorilla gorilla gorilla (western lowland gorilla), 419 nucleotides long. RefSeq lists it as uncharacterized. The transcript is spliced from 3 exons. NCBI's taxonomy places the organism in Eukaryota, Metazoa, Chordata, Mammalia, Primates, Hominidae. The record is from RefSeq and is a predicted model, not a curated record.
UAAAAUCUAGAAUUCUAAUAAUAAAGAUGUUUUGUUUCCUUUUACAUAUAUAUUAUAGGCUAUGAAUGACAUGUAAAAAUCUAUACAUUAAGCAUUUCAGAAACUUGAAUGAAACUCUCUGUAUCAUAUCACUCGUGAGGCAGUGAGAGCCAAAGUUGACGUAUAUUAAAUAAAGUCAAUAACUACUUCUCAUCAAAACCUUGUGAAUUCCAGUAAUUAUCCGUUAAUCUUCAAACAUCACCAUAAGAGGUCUUGACAGGCCACUUAGUGUUUAUCUCCAUCUCAGACUGUGAAAGAUAGAUAAAUAGCUAACAUCUAAUCUGGUCUGAGUUUAUUGCCUAAGUUUAUGGCCUACAACUUCAUUUCUUAGAAACCAACUCCUGGAAGUCCUGCCUCUAUGAUACUGCUUUUUAUUCCGC